UACGUAGGGUGCGAGCGUUGCCCGGAUUUAUUGGGCGUAAAGGGCGCGUAGGCGGCCUGGCGCGUCGGCUGUGAAAUCUCCCGGCUCAACUGGGAGGGGACGGCCGAUACGGCUGGGCUUGAGCGAGGUAGGGGAGAGUGGAAUUCCCGGUGUAGUGGUGGAAUUCGUAGAUAUCGGGAGGAACACCAGUGGCGAAGGCGGCGACCUGGGCCAAUAUUGACGCUGAGGUGCGAAAGCGUGGGGAGCAAACAGG
Molecule: ribosomal RNA, 253 nt
Filed under: uncultured bacterium
Lineage: Bacteria
Description: partial 16S ribosomal RNA
Rfam family: Bacterial small subunit ribosomal RNA
Source: RNAcentral